This 306-nucleotide small nuclear RNA is filed under the name Felis catus (domestic cat). RNAcentral's name for it is "7SK RNA". It matches the Rfam family "7SK RNA". Rfam says of the family: 7SK was discovered as an abundant small nuclear RNA in the mid-70s but a possible function has only recently been suggested. Lineage: Eukaryota; Metazoa; Chordata; Mammalia; Carnivora; Felidae. The record is from Rfam by way of RNAcentral.
GGGUGUGAGGGCAAUCUGGCUGUGACAUCUGUCGCCCCAGUGACAUUGGUCACCAGGGUUAAUUUGACUGAUCUGGUCAGCUGCGCGGAUGUUCCCUUCCUCCCUCACUACUCCAUGUGUAUCCCUCCUGAAGUGGACAGACUUCCUUGAUAGAGGAGGGCCAUUCUUGAGUCAAGGGUAUAUGAGUAGCUGUGCUUCCCUGCUUCCCUAGAACCUCCAAAUAAGCUCUCAAUGUCCAUUUUGUUGAUAGUUUCCUUUACUGUUCAGAAGCUUUUUAGUUUGAUGUGGUCCCACUUGUUUAUUUUU